GUAGCCUCUCCAAAACACUGCAGGAGAAGCCAGCCUUGAGUCUGCCCUGCAUGUUCCUCGAACUCCUCAGGUCCUGUGGACAAUUGACUGAGGAGACAAACCAUGCAGGAAACAAUG
This 117-nucleotide small nucleolar RNA is filed under the name Castor canadensis (American beaver). Its description in RNAcentral is "Small nucleolar RNA SNORA73 family (ENSCCNG00000012741.1)". Lineage: Eukaryota; Metazoa; Chordata; Mammalia; Rodentia; Castoridae. The record is from RNAcentral.